CUACCCGCCGGUCACGCGUCCGCCAGUCGUCGGCCCGCCCAAGGGCCCCGUCACGCGCCCGCCGGUCACGCGUCCGCCGGUCGUCGGACCACCGGUGACCUACCCGCCGAUCAUCGGCCCACCGGUCACGCGUCCGCCGGUCGUCGGGCCACCGGUGACCUACCCGCCGAUUACCGGCCCUCCGACGACGCCGCCGGUCGUCGGCCCACCGGUCACCUACCCGCCGAUCACCGGCCCUCCGUCAACCACGCCUCCGAUCACCGGCCCGCCGUCGACGACGCCCCCAGUCACCGGUCCGCCCGUGACCUACCCGCCCGGCGGAGGCGGCGGCAGCUCGACGCCGUGCCCGCCGCCGC
RNAcentral lists this long non-coding RNA (356 nucleotides) under Sorghum bicolor (sorghum). Its description in RNAcentral is "long non-coding RNA (SBIC_LNC018291)". The record is from RNAcentral. Lineage: Eukaryota; Viridiplantae; Streptophyta; Magnoliopsida; Poales; Poaceae.